Molecule: long non-coding RNA, 253 nt
Organism: Mus musculus (house mouse)
Lineage: Eukaryota; Metazoa; Chordata; Mammalia; Rodentia; Muridae
Product: predicted gene, 41684
Exons: 3
Source: RefSeq, a predicted model, not a curated record
AAGCUGUCCAAAGGCUACCACUUAAAACAUCCAUGCCCCAGGAGAACAGGGGACAGAGCUUCUAGAAGUCAACAGUACUCUGAUUCUCAUCAAGGCAAGAACAACAAUGGAGCAUCUUCUUUCUUUUCUGGACCCUCUGAUCACAUUGGGCUCACCCAAGACGACAUGUAUGCUUGGUGCCCACGGAGAUCAGAAGAGGCCAUCAGAUUCUCAUUGGGCUGGAGUUACUGAUGAGUAUAAGCUGCCAUUUGGA